RNAcentral lists this ribosomal RNA (253 nucleotides) under uncultured bacterium. RNAcentral's name for it is "partial 16S ribosomal RNA". It matches the Rfam family "Bacterial small subunit ribosomal RNA", at positions 524 to 776 of the family's 1533-position model. The record is from RNAcentral.
UACGUAGGGUGCGAGCGUUGUCCGGAUUUAUUGGGCGUAAAGAGCUCGUAGGCGGUUUGUCGCGUCGUUCGUGAAAUCUCCACGCUUAACGUGGAGCGUGCGGUCGAUACGGGCAGACUUGAGUUCGGUAGGGGAGACUGGAAUUCCUGGUGUAGCGGUGAAAUGCGCAGAUAUCAGGAGGAACACCGGUGGCGAAGGCGGGUCUCUGGGCCGAUACUGACGAUGAGGAGCGAAAGCGUGGGGAGCGAACAGG